UACAGAGGGUGCAAGCGUUAAUCGGAAUUACUGGGCGUAAAGCGCGCGUAGGUGGUUCGUUAAGUUGGAUGUGAAAGCCCCGGGCUCAACCUGGGAACUGCAUUCAAAACUGGCGAGCUAGAGUAUGGUAGAGGGUGGUGGAAUUUCCUGUGUAGCGGUGAAAUGCGUAGAUAUAGGAGGGAACACCAGUGGCGAAGGCGACCACCUGGACUGAUACUGACACUGAGGUGCGAAAGCGUGGGGAGCAAACAGG
This 253-nucleotide ribosomal RNA is filed under the name uncultured bacterium. RNAcentral's name for it is "partial 16S ribosomal RNA". It matches the Rfam family "Bacterial small subunit ribosomal RNA", at positions 524 to 776 of the family's 1533-position model. The record is from RNAcentral.